GACGAACGCUGGCGGCGUGCUUAACACAUGCAAGUCGUACGGAAAGGCCCUGCUUUUGUGGGGUGCUCGAGUGGCGAACGGGUGAGUAACACGUGAGUAACCUGCCCUUGACUUUGGGAUAACUUCAGGAAACUGGGGCUAAUACCGGAUAGGAGCUCCUGCUGCAGGGUGGGGGUUGGAAAGUUUCGGCGGUUGGGGAUGGACUCGCGGCUUAUCAGCUUGUUGGUGGGGUAGUGGCUUACCAAGGCUUUGACGGGUAGCCGGCCUGAGAGGGUGACCGGCCACAUUGGGACUGAGAUACGGCCCAGACUCCUACGGGAGGCAGCAGUGGGGAAUAUUGCACAAUGGGCGGAAGCCUGAUGCAGCAACGCCGCGUGCGGGAUGACGGCCUUCGGGUUGUAAACCGCUUUCGCCUGUGACGAAGCGUGAGUGACGGUAAUGGGUAAAGAAGCACCGGCUAACUACGUG
RNAcentral lists this ribosomal RNA (468 nucleotides) under uncultured bacterium. Its description in RNAcentral is "partial 16S ribosomal RNA". It matches the Rfam family "Bacterial small subunit ribosomal RNA", at positions 28 to 507 of the family's 1533-position model. The record is from RNAcentral.